GACCGCAGCCCGCUGGAGGUGCCGGGGGCGAAAUGCUGGCGUCUGCUCCUCCGUCUCCCAGAAUCCUGCCCUGGAAAAAACCAGCGCCAACCGCCGGUUUAACUGAGGACGGAUUUAAGGCAUUACGAAAGACAGCUUUCCCCUUUGCUCGGCUCUCCUUCUCUCUCCUGCUGCCCUGUGAAGAGGUGUCUUCUGCCAUAAUUGAAAAUCAAAUUUAACAACUGUUUCCACCAGAAAACCAUCAUCAUAAGAACCAAAAAUUAGGCGAGGACUCACAGUACCUGGGUUUAACUUCAUGUCGCUGAAAGAGGCACUGAAAAGGAAGAGGAAGACAGAGCUCUUACCAGGGGGAGGCAGAGAUGGCACAGCAAGAGACAUGCCCCCAGAAUGCCACCAAUGCCCCAGGACAGGCCCACCCAUGGGACCAGGUUAUCGGGA
RNAcentral lists this long non-coding RNA (438 nucleotides) under Homo sapiens (human). RNAcentral describes it as "non-protein coding LINC02259:7". Lineage: Eukaryota; Metazoa; Chordata; Mammalia; Primates; Hominidae. The record is from RNAcentral.